This 76-nucleotide small nucleolar RNA is filed under the name Loxodonta africana (African savanna elephant). RNAcentral's name for it is "Small nucleolar RNA SNORD112 (ENSLAFG00000033084.1)". Lineage: Eukaryota; Metazoa; Chordata; Mammalia; Proboscidea; Elephantidae. The record is from RNAcentral.
UAGACCAAUGAUGAGUAUGUGCCAUGAAGAGGAUCAUGAUUAAUCUAAUUCUAGGCAAAAAAAAAAAAGCUCUCCU